Molecule: small nuclear RNA, 107 nt
Organism: Mesoplodon densirostris (Blainville's beaked whale)
Lineage: Eukaryota; Metazoa; Chordata; Mammalia; Artiodactyla; Ziphiidae
Source: RefSeq, a predicted model, not a curated record
GUGCUUGCUUUGGCAGCACAUAUACUAAAACUGGAAUGAUACAGAAGAGAUUAGAAUAGCCCCUGUGUGAGGAUGACACACAAACUCGUGAAGCGUUCCAUAUUUUU